Molecule: long non-coding RNA, 410 nt
Filed under: Pongo abelii (Sumatran orangutan)
Lineage: Eukaryota; Metazoa; Chordata; Mammalia; Primates; Hominidae
Description: lincRNA
Source: RNAcentral
GUUCUGGUGGACAAUUUCCAGUCUGGUGUCUGCAUUUGGAGAGAUUCUACAGCACAUGCAUGAAUGAAUGGAAUAUCUGCUGAGGAGACUGGAAUGAGGAAGGAGUUCAUUAAGGCUGACUGUCUCUGAAAAGCUAAGUUCCUGAGAUUCCUGCACUAAGCCCCAGAAGACUGAAACAAACCAAACUGCUAAACGUCACUUCAUCAUGCUAAAUGUCACGUAACCAUCAUGCUAAAUGUCACGUAAUCAAAUGGAAAUUUUAAAGAAACAGCCUACUCAAUAUGAAGACAAUGAGAAUGAAGAUCUUGAUGAAUUAGUCACUUUCACUUAAUUAAUAGUAAAUAUAGUUUAUCUUAUGAUUUUCUUAAUAACAUUUUCUUUUCUCUAGCUUACUUUAUUGUAAGAAUACU